AAAAACAAACCAACAAAAAAAAAAAGGCACGCAAGUUCUAGCAAACACUAGAGUGGCAUUCAAAAAUUAAAAUUACUAAACAGAAUUCAAGAAAACCCAGAUCAAUUAGAUUCUUGGAGAGGCAGAAAUAGAAAUUGGUGUGGUUGAAUAACCACAUAGGGUUUAUGAUAAACCCUAAAUGAAGAUGAAAUUUUCAGGGUUUAAAGAUUAGAGUAGAUGUAGAGUGAAGUCGCGGAAAAUAUUUGGAGGGAAAAUGGAGGAAGAUUGAAAAAUCCUUGGGUUGGGUUGUGAACUGAGUGGAAGAUCGAGUCCAGAGAGG
This 319-nucleotide unclassified non-coding RNA is filed under the name Hevea brasiliensis (rubber tree). Lineage: Eukaryota; Viridiplantae; Streptophyta; Magnoliopsida; Malpighiales; Euphorbiaceae. The record is from RNAcentral.